Non-coding RNA from Mycena rebaudengoi, 93 nucleotides. The record is from the annotation of a GenBank genome assembly. Lineage: Eukaryota; Fungi; Basidiomycota; Agaricomycetes; Agaricales; Mycenaceae.
GGCCUGGUGGUGUAGUUGGAAACAUGUCCUCCUCAAGUAAUGGACUAUCAAAUACUUUAAAGGAAGUCCUUUGUUCGAAUCAAGGCCAGGCUA